CCAGACUCCUACGGGAGGCAGCAGUGAGGAAUAUUGGUCAAUGGGCGGGAGCCUGAACCAGCCAAGCCGCGUGAGGGAAGAAGGUACAGCGUAUCGUAAACCUCUUUUGUCAGGGAACAAAGGCGGGGACUAGUCCCCGGAUGAGGGUACCUGAAGAAAAAGCAUCGGCUAACUCCGUGCCAGCAGCCGCGGUAAUACGGAGGAUGCGAGCGUUAUCCGGAUUUAUUGGGUUUAAAGGGUGCGCAGGCGGCUUGUUAGGUCGGCGGUAAAGGCGCGGGGCUCAACCCGGGCGAGCCGUUGAAACUGGCGGGCUGGAGUUGGAGAGAAGUACGCGGAAUGCGCGGUGUAGCGGUGAAAUGCAUAGAUAUCACGCAGAACUCCGAUUGCGAAGGCAGCGCACCGGCGCCCUACUGACGCUCAGGCACGAAAGCGUGGGUAUCGAACAGGAUUAGAUACCCGAGUA
This 463-nucleotide ribosomal RNA is filed under the name uncultured bacterium. Its description in RNAcentral is "partial 16S ribosomal RNA". It matches the Rfam family "Bacterial small subunit ribosomal RNA", at positions 331 to 792 of the family's 1533-position model. The record is from RNAcentral.